Molecule: unclassified non-coding RNA, 195 nt
Filed under: Glomeraceae sp.
Lineage: Eukaryota; Fungi; Glomeromycota; Glomeromycetes; Glomerales; Glomeraceae
Description: partial contains 5.8S ribosomal RNA and internal transcribed spacer 2
Rfam family: 5.8S ribosomal RNA (bases 1-65)
Source: RNAcentral
GUGAAUCAUCAAAUUUUUGAACGCACAUUGCACUCCUUUCGGUGAGUAUGCCUGUUUGAGGGUCAGCAUCAAAAAAAUCGACAUCGUCGCUGGUUCGCGGUGAUAUUCGACGGAAAUUGGGUCAUCUUAAAUCUUUGGGUUUUAAGCGUCUUAAAUUUUUCUUUACGAUUCGUCGAUCGUUUCUAAGGUUUACAU